CGUCGCUGAGCGCCGGCCGCUUAAAUAGCUGCUGGCUGGCGGUAGGGCCGAGGCCAGGCUGGUUGGACCCUGGAGUAUCUAUGAAGUUUGUGGAGUUCUGUCAUUUUCUUUGCUGACUCUAGUAAUUGGACAGCAUAGCCAGCAUGUGACUAAAGAGCUCGCAGAAGCUGCGCGACGAGACCUGCACGGCCGCGCAGAGCUCCAGCCUCUUUCAUAUUUCACGAUGUGUGUCUCACUGCGAAACGAUUUCCUACAAUAAUAUGAAGCAUGAAGCAGAGAACAUUAGAAACUCCAACUUCUAACAUCCAAGCCGUGGCCAGCUUGAAAUACCAGCACGCAAAACUUUAUCUGUCCUCAGUUAUAAAACAACAAUAAAGAUAUCUAUUUGCUGGUGCUGGAUUCAUUUCUCAGUGCAAGAGAUAAGUACAAAGCAAAGGGAAGGUAUUCAUAGACCAGCAUGACUAAAUACUCGAGAGAAAAAAAUAGAUUCCCUCUUCCCCCUGAAAGACACAUGAAACUGGGCCUCUCAGUCACGUUCACUUGUACUGAGCGUCUGCUAUGUUCAAAACUGGAUCAGUGAGUUAUUCAUUCAUUUAUUCAACAAGGACUUACUGAACACCUACAAUGGGAUAGGCAUUUUUCGAGACAAUAGAUAUAGAACGAUGAAUAAAUAAGACAAAAAAGAUCCCUGCAC
Miniopterus natalensis is the source of this 694-nucleotide long non-coding RNA. RefSeq lists it as uncharacterized. The record is from RefSeq and is a predicted model, not a curated record. NCBI's taxonomy places the organism in Eukaryota, Metazoa, Chordata, Mammalia, Chiroptera, Miniopteridae.